GUGGGGAAUAUUGCACAAUGGGCGCAAGCCUGAUGCAGCAACGCCGCGUGAGUGAUGAAGGCCUUCGGGUUGUAAAACUCUGUCCUAUGGGAAGAAUAAAAUGACGGUACCAUAGGAGGAAGCCCCGGCUAACUACGUGCCAGCAGCCGCGGUAAUACGUAGGGGGCAAGCGUUAUCCGGAAUCACUGGGCGUAAAGGGUGCGUAGGUGGCUUAUCAAGCCAGAGGUGAAGGGCAUUGGCUCAACCAAUGUAAGCCUUUGGAACUGAUUAGCUUGAGUGCAGGAGAGGUAAGUGGAAUUCCUGGUGUAGAGGUGAAAUUCGUAGAUAUUAGGAGGAACACCAGUGGCGAAGGCGACUUACUGGACUGUAACUGACACUGAGGCACGAAAGCGUGGGUAGCGAACAGGAUUAGAAACCCUGGUAGUCC
RNAcentral lists this ribosomal RNA (427 nucleotides) under uncultured bacterium. RNAcentral describes it as "partial 16S ribosomal RNA". It matches the Rfam family "Bacterial small subunit ribosomal RNA", at positions 354 to 796 of the family's 1533-position model. The record is from RNAcentral.